UAGGGAAUAUUGGUCAAUGGGCGAGAGCCUGAACCAGCCAUGCCGCGUGCAGGAAGACGGCCUUCUGGGUUGUAAACUGCUUUUAUCAGGGAACAAAUAGGCCAUGCGUGGCAAGUUGAGUGUACCUGAAGAAUAAGCACCGGCUAACUCCGUGCCAGCAGCCGCGGUAAUACGGAGGGUGCAAGCGUUGUCCGGAUUUAUUGGGUUUAAAGGGUGCGUAGGCGGUUAUAUAAGUCAGUGGUGAAAUCCUACAGCUUAACUGUAGCACUGCCAUUGAAACUGUAUAACUUGAGUACAGACGAGGUAGGCGGAAUUUAUGGUGUAGCGGUGAAAUGCAUAGAUACCAUAAAGAACACCUAUAGCGAAGGCAGCUUACUAGACUGUAACUGACGCUGAUGCACGAAAGCGUGGGGAGCGAACAGGAUUAGAUACCCCCGUAGUCC
Molecule: ribosomal RNA, 443 nt
Filed under: uncultured prokaryote
Description: bacterial SSU rRNA
Rfam family: Bacterial small subunit ribosomal RNA
Source: RNAcentral